Molecule: ribosomal RNA, 301 nt
Filed under: uncultured bacterium
Lineage: Bacteria
Description: partial 16S ribosomal RNA
Rfam family: Bacterial small subunit ribosomal RNA
Source: RNAcentral
CAGCCGCCGCGGGAAUACAGAGGAUGCAAGCGUUAUCCGGAAUGAUUGGGCGUAAAGCGUCUGUAGGUGGCUUUUCAAGUCCGCCGUCAAAUCCCAGGGCUCAACCCUGGACAGGCGGUGGAAACUACCAAGCUGGAGUACGGUAGGGGCAGAGGGAAUUUCCGGUGGAGCGGCGAAAUGCGUCGAGAUUGGAAAGAACACCAACGGUGGAAGCACUCUGCUGGGCCGACACUGACACUGAGAGACGAAAGCUAGGGGAGCAAAUGGGAUUAGAUACCCCAGUAGUCCCUGUCUCUUAUAC